This 288-nucleotide small nuclear RNA is filed under the name Chinchilla lanigera (long-tailed chinchilla). RNAcentral's name for it is "7SK RNA (ENSCLAG00000021520.1)". It matches the Rfam family "7SK RNA". From Rfam's summary of the family: 7SK was discovered as an abundant small nuclear RNA in the mid-70s but a possible function has only recently been suggested. Two independent studies have found that 7SK RNA binds the CDK9/cyclin T complex (known as elongation factor P-TEFb). P-TEFb activates transcription by phosphorylating the C-terminal domain of RNA polymerase II. Lineage: Eukaryota; Metazoa; Chordata; Mammalia; Rodentia; Chinchillidae. The record is from RNAcentral.
GGAUGGGAGGUCAAUCUGGCUGAGACAUCUGUUACCCCACUGAUUGCCAAGGUUGAAUCAGUUGAUCUGCUUGGCCAGACAGGUGUCCCUUUCCUCCCUCACCACUUCACAUGUGUCUCUCCAGAAGCUGUGGGCUCUGAUGGAAGAGGAUGACCACCCCCAACAUAGGAGGACCAUUUCCUCAGUCAAAGAUAUACAAGUAGCUGUGCUCCCCUGCUACAAUCUCUAAACAAGCUCUCAAGAAUUGGAAAAUAAUCUUUCAUAUAUGACUGUACACACAGAAAAUCU